Panicum virgatum (switchgrass) is the source of this 1402-nucleotide long non-coding RNA. RefSeq lists it as uncharacterized. Lineage: Eukaryota; Viridiplantae; Streptophyta; Magnoliopsida; Poales; Poaceae. The transcript has 5 exons. The record is from RefSeq and is a predicted model, not a curated record.
UCGUGUAGAAAAAAAAAGAAUCGGCCUCCCCCACCGCCGCAGCAUUGCACCCCCCGGCGAGCCCUGCGGCUCCACCGCCUGCGCCUGCCGACCUGCGGGGCGACACCGCCGUGAAUCCCCCAAGCACGGCCGGAGGGCGCUUUCUGCGCGGCAGACGGAUUGGACUCCGGCAGAGAACUCGUGCUGCGAUCGGCGAACUUGAGCAGAGUGGUUCCCCCGCCACGGCCGGGAGGGAUAUUUCUGCGCGGCAGGGGUAUUGGACUCCGGGAGGGAGCUGGUGCUGCGAUCUGCGAACUUGAGCAGAGUGGUUCCUGUGCGCAAGCUCUCAGUGCGGCUCGUGGAGGAUGAGGAAGACGCAGAAGGUGGAAAUGGGGUGUUCCAGAAUUACCCCCCCAUGGGUUCUGCUGAAGGGAUUGUGAUCCACCCUUACGCUCUUCAGAGAAGGUGACUGAUUUCUUGUCCUUAGGCUCUGUUGUUUAUUCUUUUGUCAUAGUUACAAUUUUGUAAAUUCUUACCCUGUGAACCUACGGAUGCAUGCUUGUGUAGAUUAACUAAUUGUUUAGAUGUGACAUGUUACAUCUUAAUUAGAUUGGCUUUCGACAAUUGCUAAAGUUGUAGGAAAAAGGAUUUAUUACAAUAUCUUCCUGUAGCAUAUUGUCCGAUUUCAAGGGAGAAGUCUCAAAGGUUUGGACCCCAACUUGCGAGACAAAGUUAUAUAUUCGUCUCCAAAUUUUGAUCCAAAGGUUUUCCUUUCGUGGGUCCAUAAAGACACAAUUGCUGCUGACUUAGAGUAUGGUGCUCUCACCUUGGAAACUGAUCUCAAAGGGAGAACGCAGCAGACAUUGAGUCGAAAUUGAGACAGAUAGAGGAAGAUGCUGAAGGUGCAGGUACUUCUCAUUUGCAUUCAAUCACAGAAAGAAUUAGCGGCGUGGCAAAAUCGUGCAUUUGAGCCUCUAUUUGAGAGCCAGGCACAAGCUGAGAAUAUCAGAUCUGUCCAGGGGAUGCUUCAAAGAUUCGGAACAUUAUUUAACGUACAAAGUGCAAUCCGUGGGAACAUUACAAAAGGAGAAUAUGAUCAUGCUGUCAGAGAGUACCAAAAAGCAAAGUCAAUUGUUCUUCCUUUCCCAUUCAAACUUGAUCAGAAGUGCUGCACAGAGUUAUCUUUUGGAUUCUGGGAUUAACUGGGGAGCAGCACUGUCAGUAAAAGGGCAUUCGGGAUGCAACUCUUGAUUUACUACACAUCCUUGUAGCAGUACAUGCAGAGGUCUCCAUCAUUUUCUAUUCUUAUUAUGGAUAUUUAAAUUUUGUCAUGACAGCAUUGCCUUUCCUAUUAAUAUGCAUGAAAUUGGUUUAAAGAAAAAAAAUACCUUUUAUUGGAUACUUUACUGUCAUCUUUGGCCCA